Small nucleolar RNA from Otolemur garnettii (small-eared galago), 137 nucleotides. The record is from Ensembl. Lineage: Eukaryota; Metazoa; Chordata; Mammalia; Primates; Galagidae.
UUGGCCCUGAAUCGAGGCUGGCAGUUUGCUGCAACUCUUGGUUUCAAGCAGGCACCUAAAGAAUUAUCUUUCUGUGGCCUGUUGGCCAUUUCAGAACUUUGGAAACGUAAUGGUCAAUUCAUUAGAAAGAAACAGUU